RNAcentral lists this ribosomal RNA (271 nucleotides) under uncultured prokaryote. Its description in RNAcentral is "partial 16S ribosomal RNA". It matches the Rfam family "Bacterial small subunit ribosomal RNA", at positions 524 to 794 of the family's 1533-position model. The record is from RNAcentral.
UACGUAGGUGGCGAGCGUUAUCCGGAUUUACUGGGUGUAAAGGGCGUGUAGGCGGGUUUGCAAGUCGGGUGUGAAAGAUUCGGGCUUAACCCGGAGAGGUCAUCCGAAACUGCAGAUCUUGAGUGCUGGAGAGGAUAGUGGAAUUCCUGGUGUAGCGGUAAAAUGCGUAGAGAUCAGGAGGAACACCAGUGGCGAAGGCGGCUAUCUGGACAGUAACUGACGCUGAGGCGCGAAAGCGUGGGUAGCGAACAGGAUUAGAUACCCCUGUAGU